UACGGGGGGGGCAAGCGUUGUUCGGAAUUACUGGGCGUAAAGGGCGCGUAGGCGGCCUGCUAAGUCAGACGUGAAAUCCCCCGGCUUAACCUGGGAACUGCGUCUGAUACUGGAGGGCUUGAGUGCGGGAGAGGGAUGUGGAAUUCCAGGUGUAGCGGUGAAAUGCGUAGAUAUCAGGAGGAACACCAAUUGCGAAGGCAGCUCGCUGGGACGUUACUGACGCUGAGACGCGAAAGCGUGGGGAGCAAACAGG
This 253-nucleotide ribosomal RNA is filed under the name uncultured bacterium. Its description in RNAcentral is "partial 16S ribosomal RNA". It matches the Rfam family "Bacterial small subunit ribosomal RNA", at positions 524 to 776 of the family's 1533-position model. The record is from RNAcentral.